GCCGGAGUGGUGGAACUGGUAGACACGCAGUGUUGAGGGCGCUGUGUCCUAUUGGGCGUGCCGGUUCGAGUCCGGCCUCCGGCA
This 84-nucleotide transfer RNA is filed under the name Bacteroidota bacterium. Its description in RNAcentral is "Bacteroidetes bacterium (marine metagenome) tRNA-Leu". It matches the Rfam family "tRNA". Rfam says of the family: Transfer RNA (tRNA) molecules are approximately 80 nucleotides in length. Their secondary structure includes four short double-helical elements and three loops (D, anti-codon, and T loops). Further hydrogen bonds mediate the characteristic L-shaped molecular structure. tRNAs have two regions of fundamental functional importance: the anti-codon, which is responsible for specific mRNA codon recognition, and the 3' end, to which the tRNAs corresponding amino acid is attached (by aminoacyl-tRNA synthetases). tRNAs cope with the degeneracy of the genetic code in two manners: having more than one tRNA (with a specific anti-codon) for a particular amino acid; and 'wobble' base-pairing, i.e. permitting non-standard base-pairing at the 3rd anti-codon position. RNAcentral also lists the same sequence under 1 other name. Lineage: Bacteria; Pseudomonadati; Bacteroidota. The record is from RNAcentral.